UCUGCUCCUAAAGUCAUCACAGGUGUGGCUGCUGUGUCAUGUUUCUGUCAGUAGGCGGCAGAGAGGAGAGAGGCUAAGUCUGUGCUCAGUGUUCUGACCUGUGAACAUCUGAAUGAUUACCUGCCUACCUAA
Apodemus sylvaticus (European woodmouse) is the source of this 132-nucleotide small nucleolar RNA. RefSeq annotates it as small nucleolar RNA SNORA17. The transcript has a single exon. The record is from RefSeq and is a predicted model, not a curated record. Lineage: Eukaryota; Metazoa; Chordata; Mammalia; Rodentia; Muridae.